UUUACGUCUUUCUGGGAAUUUAUACUGGAAGUAUACUUACCUCUGUGCAAAAUUGCAAAUAUAUAAGGUAAUUCAUUCCAGCAUUGCUUAUAUUAGGUUGAACUAUGUAACAUUGACAUUGAUGUGAAUCAAAAAUGGUUGAAGGCUGGCAGUUUCAUAUGAUUCAGCCUAUAAUAGCAAAAGAUUGAAAAAAUCCAUUAAUACAGUGUGGUUCAAAAAAAUUUGUUGUAUCAAGGUAAAAUAAUAGCCUGAAUAUAAUUAAGAUAGUCUGUGUAUACAUCGAUGAAAACAUUGCCAAUACAUGUUGUCAUGUGGAUAAAAACAAAAGAAAACAACAAUAUUUUUAAUAAUAGAGAUUAUAUAGUGUAUUUUAUGUAAAAUGAGGGAAAUGAAUAAUAUUUGUCAUAUUUAAUUGCAUAAGCAUAAAGAAACCCUAAUAUUUAUAAUAGUGGCUAGCUUUUGGAGGGAGGUGGGCCCGGGCUUCUGCAGAUGGUCAUAACUUUUGGAGGUGAGAUUCACAUGGAACUGUAAAAUGUAUGGCCAUCAUCAGGAAAGGCAACUGUGUGGAUAGAGCCAAGAGUUCAAUGGGAAAGGGAAUUUGUACGUUGCAUAUGUUUUAAUAUGAUUGGAUAUUUGAACUACAAAAAUGGUCUACCUGUUCACAGAUAAAAUAUAUCUGGUAUUUAUUGUAUAAAACAGUUUCUUCAUGUUAUCUGUGGGCCAGAUUUUUCCUUAUUCCUAUAAGACUGUAAUCUCAUAACAGUAUUAAUACAAUAUUCUGAUGUAGAGUUAUUUUAUAGGCAUUAUGAAUCUGUAAUGGAUUAGAAUAAAAAAUAUGUUUAGUAAGUAUUUCUUUAACUUUUAAAAAAUGUUUCCAGCAGGCUGCUUUGGUGUAAUGAUAGACGGAUUUGGAGCCUCAGCUCUGCCACAUAUAUACCUCCUUUGUGGGCUUUAGAUAGCCAACAGUUCUCAACCUCCAUUUUUCUUAGUUGCAAAAGUAGAUUAAUAGUUAAAACCACCAUUAAAUAAAAUUUCUUUGUAAAAUGUUUUGCAUAUCAAAAUUUUUAUGAAGUCAACAUUUAAAAAAGUUCAUUUUGAAGCAUAAGUAUUCAUAAUAAUAGAAGUUAUUGGGUUUUGCUAUGUAGAUAAAGUGUCCAAAAGAGUUGUGCUAUGUGAACUGCCAUAUGUGUACAAAAUAGAAUCUUACAGAUCCACAGGGAAUUGGUCAAUGGGAAGAAAAUAGGGUAAAUAUGGGUGUUACAAAAUGCAUUAAUGAACCACAGUACACUCCGGGCUGGGGCAGAUCUUCUGCUUGUGUUUUCACCACCAUCACCACCAAUUACACCACAAAAGAAGCUAUUACUUAUUAAGUCCCAAAUAUUUGUUAGAGUCUGCGUGGCACGUUGUACUUAUUCUAUCCCACUUAACUGUUAUAAAAACUCCUGUGAAAUAAGUAUUACUAUUUCUAUUGUACAGUUGCCUAACAGUGAAUAGCCAGUUAAAUAUGUAAACAGGUGAUUUAAAGACAGGUCUUUUUGAUCCCAAAUCUCAAAUCCUUAUUAAUAUUCCACUUUCUUUCAGACUUUAGUGGGCAUUAACAUAUAACAGAAAUGCAGAUUUCUGGACGUUGCCUCAGAGAUUCGGCUUUGCUUGGUCUGUACUGUACCAUCUCUCCCAGCGGCUCUAAUGUUGUUGGACAGUAGUUACUGAAAGUAAUUCCAUGCUAUCCCCAACUCCUCUUGGCCUUCUUCUAUAGCAGAUAAUCUAGCACCUAUAAACAUCUGGAGCAUUAAUGUUCUGUUGAACACAGAUUGGGAAGCUAAGUACUGGAAAACACAGCAAAGGAGUCAGUAGAGAUAUUCGCCAGGAAAGAGGAAAGAGUUAUUUCAUGGAAAGCCUUUAGCUUUUUUCUGUGAAAACUAAGGACAAUUAAAUGUAGGCAUGAGGUCCUUUCAAGGCAGCAAGAAGUAUCACAUAGAUGACUCAGCGUCAUGCACAGGUGCUGGUUGGAUUCAGUUCUUGGACCUGGGAUCAUAGCCUAUUCAGAUUAUCAGUGAGAUGUUAAAGAAUUCCUGUCCAGGAUCAAAAACAAAGCAGGCAUUCUCUCUUUUUUACGGUUGGUUUUCCAUGAUCCUUUUAAAGUGCAAAUUCUCUGUUUUCCUAAAAUUAAUAGUUAAAUCACUGCCUUAGAUUUUGACUUGUUAACUGUUUUUUUUUCCUCUUUGUGACAUUACUGAACUAUCUUACAUAAGCUUGACUGUCCUGUCCUCAUCUAUAAAAAUGAAGAUCAGAUAAUCUAAGUCACAGUGAUAUUUCCAGAGUUAAAAAGAUAACACGUGCAAAAUUAUUGCAAAAUCUUUGGGAUGUAGACAGUUAGUACUCUUCCAAAUACAUAAAUCAGAAAUUUAGCUCUCCUGAGUAUUUUGUUUUUA
This 2432-nucleotide long non-coding RNA is filed under the name Homo sapiens (human). RNAcentral's name for it is "HSALNT0375982". Lineage: Eukaryota; Metazoa; Chordata; Mammalia; Primates; Hominidae. The record is from RNAcentral.